Long non-coding RNA from Gavialis gangeticus (Gharial), 112 nucleotides. RefSeq lists it as uncharacterized. The transcript is spliced from 3 exons. The record is from RefSeq and is a predicted model, not a curated record. NCBI's taxonomy places the organism in Eukaryota, Metazoa, Chordata, Crocodylia, Gavialidae.
CUGAUGAAGGAUUGUGUGUUAGACUGUAACCUCAGGACACUCACCUGGGUGGGAUUGUACAGUUCCUGUAGAGGACUUCUCGACCCCUUCCGACAACAAAUGUCCAUUCCAA